RNAcentral lists this unclassified non-coding RNA (425 nucleotides) under Hevea brasiliensis (rubber tree). Lineage: Eukaryota; Viridiplantae; Streptophyta; Magnoliopsida; Malpighiales; Euphorbiaceae. The record is from RNAcentral.
CUUCUUCUUGGAUUUGAAGGACACUUUAGAUGAUCACGAGUUUCUUAACCUGUGCAUUGAUGUAGGCAGAAUUUAUGGGAUGAUACAUGAACAAACCGAAUUGGAAUAGAGAUCCAAAACAAGCUUUGGUAGUUUGAUAUUUUGGGCUACCGCUCUUCCAUUUUUACUCUUGAAGAUUUUGUUAAUUUGAUAGACAAUCUUGUAGCAAAACUUGGUAAUGUCUGCUGCGACCUGCGAGGAAAAGAACUUGCUGUCUACAUUGGACGGCUAGUCGGCUAGCUACCCAAUGAAUUAGAGAUCCACUUAAGAUAGUGUUUUUCAAAAUACAUGAUUAACAAAGGCCUGUUUGAUUUAAUUAUUGAAUGUAGCUCAUAACUGUUAGAUGAUAGUUAUUACCGUUAAUCAAUGCCUGAUAGCAGGUAACU